This 71-nucleotide transfer RNA is filed under the name Loxodonta africana (African savanna elephant). It matches the Rfam family "tRNA". From Rfam's summary of the family: Transfer RNA (tRNA) molecules are approximately 80 nucleotides in length. Their secondary structure includes four short double-helical elements and three loops (D, anti-codon, and T loops). Lineage: Eukaryota; Metazoa; Chordata; Mammalia; Proboscidea; Elephantidae. The record is from Rfam by way of RNAcentral.
GCAGUGGUGGUUCAGUGAUAGAAUUCUCACCUUCCAUGUGGGAGCCCUGGGUUCCAUUCCCCGCCAAUGUA